GGCAGGCAACAGCACCACUACUCCAUGCCCACACGAUAACAACAAGUCCUCUCCUCCACCGUCUUGAUCGCUUGCAGUUUCGAUCGUGCUCUUAUCUUACGACGAGUUGUAUGGCUAGAUCGACCGGUUGAUCGAUCCAAGGAAUAACAGGUGUGUCCGUGUGAUCCCUCCCUCUUCAUCUGACAUCUGCAUUAGCUUCCUCCGAAAUGACGAUGUCGAUCGAAGAAUAAAUAUGCUCCCGCUGUCACCGAAAGUUCAAUCAUAAGUCAUAACUAAUGUCUUGCACUUGUACGUACAUUGAGAGGGAGUAGGUCCAUGAUGGCUGAGCCGAUUGGUGACGGAUCAUGGGCUAGAUCACCCAUCGCCCACGAUUAGUUGCGCUUCUGCUGAUUUGUUCUGUUUCUUCAACUAGGGCGGAAGGAGCUUUUUCAUCAUGUCGAUGAAGGUACUACACUGCUGUCAUGCCUUUCUUAGCUUGCUUUUAUGUGUAGACUAGUUAAUUGUGCGUUGUAAUGGUGGAAAAUAAGUUCUAGUGGAUGAACAAUAAUCGUGUCUAAAAUAUAACUUUAAGAUCAUCGUGUAUAUUACCUGACAUUGUGGACUUUAUUUACGCUAGAUCACUUUUCUUCUUCAUUCUCGCCAUAUACCUCCCCCCCCCCUC
Molecule: long non-coding RNA, 661 nt
Filed under: Hordeum vulgare
Lineage: Eukaryota; Viridiplantae; Streptophyta; Magnoliopsida; Poales; Poaceae
Description: long non-coding RNA (HVUL_LNC014736)
Source: RNAcentral